This is a long non-coding RNA of Humulus lupulus (European hop), 340 nucleotides long. RefSeq lists it as uncharacterized. The transcript has 3 exons. Lineage: Eukaryota; Viridiplantae; Streptophyta; Magnoliopsida; Rosales; Cannabaceae. The record is from RefSeq and is a predicted model, not a curated record.
GAGUAUAAGUUUUGGUCUAUUAAAUUUUAUUUUUUCUUGUUAGUGCUUUAAAAGCAGUUGAAAUUCUGGAAGCAUAUGAAGGGACACUAGAAGAUUAUUUUCCUCCUGAUAAUGAACGUUGUGAACAUGGGGAAAUGCUUUUGUAUAAGAUUUCUUUGCUAGAAGAAUCGGGUUCUAUUGAGAGAGCUCUUGAUGAGUUGCACAAGAAAGAGCCAAAAAUAGUUGAUAAAUUGGCUUUUAAAGAAUAAGAGGUUUCUAUUUUAGUAAAGCUUGGUCGCUUUGAAGAAGGUGCCACUUUGUUCAAGGCUCUACUUUCUAUGAAUCCUAACAAUUACGGGUA